UACGUAGGGGGCAAGCGUUGUCCGGAUUUAUUGGGCGUAAAGCGUGCGCAGGCGGCGCGUUAAGACAGGUGUGAAAGCCCCGAGCUUAACUUGGGAAUUGCGCUUGUGACUGGCGGGCUGGAGUGUGGCAGAGGGAGGUGGAAUUCCACGUGUAGCAGUGAAAUGCGUAGAGAUGUGGAGGAACACCGAUGGCGAAGGCAGCCUCCUGGGCCAGCACUGACGCUCAUGCACGAAAGCGUGGGGAGCAAACAGG
This 253-nucleotide ribosomal RNA is filed under the name uncultured bacterium. Its description in RNAcentral is "partial 16S ribosomal RNA". It matches the Rfam family "Bacterial small subunit ribosomal RNA", at positions 524 to 776 of the family's 1533-position model. The record is from RNAcentral.